GUGGGUAGUUUGACUGGGGCGGUCUCCUCCUAAAGAGUAACGGAGGAGCACGAAGGUUGGCUAAUCCUGGUCGGACAUCAGGAGGUUAGUGCAAUGGCAUAAGCCAGCUUGACUGCGAGCGUGACGGCGCGAGCAGGUGCGAAAGCAGGUCAUAGUGAUCCGGUGGUUCUGAAUGGAAGGGCCAUCGCUCAACGGAUAAAAGGUACUCCGGGGAUAACAGGCUGAUACCGCCCAAGAGUUCAUAUCGACGGCGGUGUUUGGCACCUCGAUGUCGGCUCAUCACAUCCUGGGGCUGAAGUAGGUCCCAAGGGUAUGGCUGUUCGCCAUUUAAAGUGGUACGCGAGCUGGGUUUAGAACGUCGUGAGACAGUUCGGUCCCUAUCUGCCGUGGGCGCUGGAGAACUGAGGGGGGCUGCUCCUAGUACGAGAGGACCGGAGUGGACGCAUCACUGGUGUUCGGGUUGUCAUGCCAAUGGCACUGCCCGGUAGCUAAAUGCGGAAGAGAUAAGUGCUGAAAGCAUCUAAGCACGAAACUUGCCCCGAGAUGAGUUCUCCCUGAGACUUUAGGUCUCCUGAAGGAACGUUGAAGACGACGACGUU
This 599-nucleotide ribosomal RNA is filed under the name Salmonella enterica. RNAcentral's name for it is "partial 23S ribosomal RNA". It matches the Rfam family "Bacterial large subunit ribosomal RNA", at positions 2261 to 2854 of the family's 2925-position model. Lineage: Bacteria; Pseudomonadati; Pseudomonadota; Gammaproteobacteria; Enterobacterales; Enterobacteriaceae. The record is from RNAcentral. RNAcentral also lists the same sequence under 2 other names.